UCGCUGUGGUUUCCACCCACCCACCCAUGCUUCAGUAUCUUUUGUAUUUCCGUUAUCUUUUGACCCCACUAUCAGACACGAUUUCCACUUGGCCAACGGCAUGCUUUGCUGAAGUGGCAAAAGGGAGGACCUAAAUAGACAAGGACAGCAGAAGGCUUAAAUUUCCUCCCUUGUUUUUUUUUCCUUUCUGUUUUGUGAGCAAGUAAAUAGAUCAGGAUCAUGGGCUGGAGGUUCCCUUCUGCAAAGUCCAGAAUAUGGUCCACUGACUUUUUCUUACAUAUCCACCAACCAAGAAGGUGAGACAUGGCUUUGAAUAGCUGAGCAUUCAGGAAAGCCAGAAAUGCCACAGGGAGCUUUUGUGGCCAUAAAGCACAGCUUUAUGAGUGGAAACAGGAUCUAGAAAAACAUUCAACUAAUAAGUCUUUAAAGUCUCUGAAAUCUUAUGCCGGAUAACCCCUGAUUUCACAGAGGUUCGUUUUCCUCUGUAACUCUGUUCUCUUUUCCUCCUGAUUGUGAGCCAUCCUUGUUGACUAAAUCCAGGUUCCUGUCGUUCCCACUUUGCAGAGAACCAAAAGGGGCUUAAUGCAUUCUCUUAUUUUAAAAGAGACCGCUGUAGAGGUAGAGUCGGUUCCCAGUGUAUUUUGAAGAAACUCUUUAUCAAGAGAGGGGAAAAGACUUCUUGCUUCUCUCUAACUGAAAUUUGGAUGUCAUAACGGCUGUUGUGACUUUGGAUGUAUCUGUUCUGAACAAUGAUUGUUGCAUGGCAACAAAAAGAGGGCCUGGAUUCUUCAGGAUAAGGUAUUUUCCCUUUUAUUUUCCUUUGAAUGAUCAGCAGUAACAGUCUGUCCUCCUUGUUCCUCAAUAUGUGACCAAAGUAUUCUAAUUUUCCACGUUUUACCAUUCCACUGUCUUUACUUGCUCUAGGAUUUUUUUCGCUGGUCACCGUCUUGCUCAGAGACAUUUUUACCAUCUGCAUUGAAUAAUAACUUCACAUCUUUCAAAUGCUUCUAUCUUUUUAAAAAAAGUUGCCUGAGUUAAAACAUCUAUUAUUCCAUGCAGCAGAAUUGAGAAUGUAUAGCCAAUGUGUUGCUUAUUUAUUAAGCCAUUUAAUAAGCAACUGUAUUGCUUUUUU
Pogona vitticeps (central bearded dragon) is the source of this 1132-nucleotide non-coding RNA. The record is from RefSeq and is a predicted model, not a curated record. NCBI's taxonomy places the organism in Eukaryota, Metazoa, Chordata, Lepidosauria, Squamata, Agamidae.